This 253-nucleotide ribosomal RNA is filed under the name uncultured bacterium. RNAcentral's name for it is "partial 16S ribosomal RNA". It matches the Rfam family "Bacterial small subunit ribosomal RNA", at positions 524 to 776 of the family's 1533-position model. The record is from RNAcentral.
UACGAACUGUGCGAACGUUGUUCGGAAUCACUGGGCUUAAAGGGUGCGUAGGCGGCUUGUUAAGUCGGGGGUGAAAUACUUCGGCUCAACCGGAGAAUUGCCUUCGAUACUGGCGAGCUGGAGGAAGGUAGGGGUCGCGGGAACUGCCAGUGGAGCGGUGAAAUGCGUAGAUAUCUAGAGGAACGCCAAAGGUGAAGACAGGCGACUGGUUUGCAACUGACGCUCAUGGACGAAAGCGUGGGGAUCAAACGGG